UACGGGGGGAGCAAGCGUUAUUCGGAUUCACUGGGCGUAAAGGGUGCGCAGGCGGUUGGGUGUGUCAGAUGUGAAAUCCCGAGGCUUAACCUCGGAACUGCGUCUGAAACUACUCGACUAGAGUAUUGGAGAGGGUAACGGAAUUCACGGUGUAGCAGUGAAAUGCGUAGAUAUCGUGAGGAACACCAGAGGCGAAGGCGGUUACCUGGACAAUUACUGACGCUCAGGCACGAAAGCAUGGGGAGCAAAAGGG
This 253-nucleotide ribosomal RNA is filed under the name uncultured bacterium. RNAcentral's name for it is "partial 16S ribosomal RNA". It matches the Rfam family "Bacterial small subunit ribosomal RNA", at positions 524 to 776 of the family's 1533-position model. The record is from RNAcentral.